This 272-nucleotide ribosomal RNA is filed under the name Porphyrobacter sp. SP69. RNAcentral describes it as "partial 16S ribosomal RNA". It matches the Rfam family "Bacterial small subunit ribosomal RNA", at positions 144 to 432 of the family's 1533-position model. The record is from RNAcentral. Lineage: Bacteria; Pseudomonadati; Pseudomonadota; Alphaproteobacteria; Sphingomonadales; Erythrobacteraceae.
UAACAGUGAGAAAUCGCUGCUAAUACCGGAUAAUGUCUUCGGACCAAAGAUUUAUCGCCUUUAGAUGGGCCCGCGUUGGAUUAGCUAGUUGGUGGGGUAAAGGCCUACCAAGGCGACGAUCCAUAGCUGGUCUGAGAGGAUGAUCAGCCACACUGGGACUGAGACACGGCCCAGACUCCUACGGGAGGCAGCAGUGGGGAAUAUUGGACAAUGGGCGAAAGCCUGAUCCAGCAAUGCCGCGUGAGUGAUGAAGGCCUUAGGGUUGUAAAAUC